Molecule: ribosomal RNA, 366 nt
Filed under: Typhlops rostellatus
Lineage: Eukaryota; Metazoa; Chordata; Lepidosauria; Squamata; Typhlopidae
Description: partial 16S ribosomal RNA
Source: RNAcentral
UUUCACAAAUAACUAACUUCUCCAGCAAACAUAUGAACAACUUUAUCUAAAUAAAGAUUCCUAUGCUAAAACUAUUAAUAUGAGCACGACUCUACCUGCGCACUCAUCACUCAGACAAUACUGAUAAUUAACAGACCAAAAAGGGAUAAGUACAACUCAAUUAACAAAUCCUUUAAAUACUGUGAACCCAACUCAGGUGCGCACUAUGGUAAAAUUAAAAGUUACAAAAGGAACUCGGCAAACACAGAUUCCAACUGUUUACCAAAAACAUAGCCUUUAGCUAAACAAAUAUUGAAGGUAAUGCCUGCCCAGUGAAAUCACUUUCAACGGCCGCGGUACCCUAACCGUGCAAAGGUAGCGUAAUCA